This 1248-nucleotide ribosomal RNA is filed under the name Triticum aestivum (bread wheat). RNAcentral describes it as "partial small subunit ribosomal RNA". The record is from RNAcentral. Lineage: Eukaryota; Viridiplantae; Streptophyta; Magnoliopsida; Poales; Poaceae.
AUGGCGGUGGAGCACGAUGAGGCCGUGGCUUCGCCUUCGGUCACGGCCAGCAGGAAGAAGCGGGCGGCGUCCAGGCCGGCCUCCAACGGAGGGGAGGGCUCAUCGUCGCGAUGCAGCGGCGUGCACCGGAUGCGCCCCGGGAAGCACACGGUGCAGAUCAGGGUCCCGGGGCAGCAGCAAUCCGCCGGGGAGGCUGCCGGAGCGCACGGCGCGGCGGCCAUCAGGCUGCACGCCGCGGCCGCGAAGACCAACUCCAAGCAUCCUGCGGCUGCUGUGACGAAGUCCCGCUCGGGGCUCUUCGGCGCGCACGGGACCCCGAGCGGAGAGCACGGGGCGCAGAUCUGGCCCCGCACCACCGCCGAGGAGGCCGACAGAGCGGACGAGGUGGCGGCCAUCAGGCUGCACGGCACGGCGGCGGCCUUCACCGACGCCAUCCAGCACGGCGACGACGGGGACGCGCCGCUCCUGCGCGUCUCCUGCGAGGGCGAGGCGCCGGGGAACGCCGAUAGAAAUAAGAAGAAGCGGGCCGCGCCCAGGUCGGGGUUCCGCGGCGUGUACCGGCAUCCCCGGAGCGGCAGGUACUCCGCGCAGAUCCGGGACCCGGAGCGGCGAGCCAAGCUGUUCUGGCUCGGCAGAUUCGCCACGGGCGAGGAGGCCGCGAGAGCCUACGACAAGGCGGCUGUCACGCUGUACGGCGACAAGGCCGUAACCAACUACGAGCAGCCACGCACUGCCGCCAUCGACGGCGAGGAGUCGCCCAUGGACCUCUUCCCGGAGCUGCGCUCGAACAUUCAGGCCUGGAGGAAGGCAUUGGGCGCUCGGUCGAGGCACGCCGGCGUGCACCCGUAUCGCGGGGAGUACUCGGCGCAGAUCUGGGACCCGGUGUGGCUAGCUGACCAGGGGCUCGGCAGCUUCGGCGCCGCUGAGGAGACCGCCGGAGCAUACGACGCAGCGGCUGUCAGGAUGCGCGGCGCGGCGGCCGAAACCAACUUCAAGCAACCACCGCGCUCGGUCGCUGCUGCGGAUGACGGUGAGGUGUCGGCCAUGGACCUCAACGACUUCCUGGAGGUGGAGCUGCCGGCGCUCGACUUCCUCCCUGACAGCAUCACCCCAGAUGCACAGCUGGACGAUCUCUCGACUGGCUUGCCCCUGGUGGAGUUGCAGCAGGUGGAUGAGCUCCUCGAGGACAUGGGCUUCACCGAUAUGCUGGCCAGGGCUCAACGUACAGGUGCUCCUAGUCCUACAUAG